Molecule: long non-coding RNA, 277 nt
Filed under: Micromonas commoda
Lineage: Eukaryota; Viridiplantae; Chlorophyta; Mamiellophyceae; Mamiellales; Mamiellaceae
Description: long non-coding RNA (MCOM_LNC000115)
Source: RNAcentral
GAUGAACCUGCUCAUCGCGGAGGCUGAGCUCGCGGCGGCGGAGAUUGAGCGCGACCUCGCCGAGGCUCGCGCGUUUUUCGAGGGCGAGCUGGAGGAGGACGUGUCCGACAUCGAGGAGAGGCUGGAGCGCGACCCGCCGAGGCCGUCCAGCAGAUCCGCGGACGCCGUCCAGGAGGUGGUGUCAACGCGCCGCGGCCGCGCCAACACCGCCCGAAGAGACGCCGUGGACGCGUCUGGAUCGGCGAGGGACGCGAACGCCUCGGCGAGAAACGCGAGC